RNAcentral lists this long non-coding RNA (1741 nucleotides) under Mytilus galloprovincialis (Mediterranean mussel). The record is from RNAcentral. Lineage: Eukaryota; Metazoa; Mollusca; Bivalvia; Mytilida; Mytilidae.
AUGCCAAUGAGACAACUCUCCACAAAUGACCAACUGACACAGAAAUUAAUAACUUAAGAUCACCGUAUGGCCUUUAACAAUGAGAACAGUCCAUACCGCAAAAUUAGCUAUUAUAGGCCCCGAAUUUUACCAGAUGUGUAAUAACAUAACUUGACUGAUUCCAAAUGUAGAGCAGGAUCUGCUUAACCUUCUGAAUCCUUCGACAAAAGUUUUACUCCCAGUUUUUGGUGGGGUUCUAGUCUUUGGUUUUCUAUGGUGUGUCUUCUGUAUUAUUGUCGGUCUGUCUGCAUGUUUAUUUUUGGCCAUGGCGUUGUCAGUUCGAUUUCGAUCUGUGAGUUUGACUGUCCCUCUGGUGCCUUUUGUCCCUAUUGUAUGUAGACGAUACGCUAAUUUAACGUUUCAAAAUAAUAAGCCGAGUACCUUUGGUAACUAUAAGUAUGUCGGAAUGUUCUAGUACUUGCUUGUUGUUUAUUUCUCCGUUCUGCAUGUUUUUGUAUUUCUUUGUUCUGUAGUCCUGUCAUUCAAUUUUAGUGUUAUAUUUUAACAUUGCAGAAGACGCACAAGGUUUGGCUAGCCACAAAACCAGAUUCAACCCAUCAUGUUUUCUUAAAAUGUCCUGUACCAAGUCAGCAAAAUGGCAGUUGUUAUAUUAUUGCUCGUUCUGUGAGUUGUUUGGUUUUUUGUUGCACUUCAGUGUUUCUGUUGUUUCGUUUUUUUCCCUCUCAUAGUUGAUGUGUUUCCUUUGGUUCUAGUUUGUUAACCGGAUGAUACUUUUCUCAAUCGAUGUAUGAUUUUCGACCAGAGGUAUACUACUGUUGCUUUACAAAACUUUUAUCACCUCGAAACUAAAUAAUUCAUCUGCAGAAACAUGUGUUAUGAUGCAACAAAUAUAUGCAUUUAUUCAAUAUUGGUAUUAUUUAAGUAGAUUUCUCUAUACGAAUUGGAUUCUGAAUGAAAAAGCAUAUUCACCUGGGAAAGUAUUAUUCGUUGCGCUUAACGUCACACGCUUUGACAUGCUUUUACAUUCUUCAAAUUAAACGCAAUGUCGUGUUAAAGAUUGAACAUUUGUUUUUUUAGACAAACAAGGAUUAUUUGAGAGAAAAAAAGUAUGCCAAAAGCCUUGGUGUUUGAUUGAAAUGGUUCCACAGUUAUUGCAAUGUAUAUCCAAACCUCUUAAUAAUAAGACUGAAACCUGCAGAUUCACAAAAUGUAUAAAACUUAAAGCUUUGUUAUCGAUAUCAACGUUUCUUCCGUAUAUUUAGUAUAAUGUCCAAAUGUUGUUUGGCUAGUCUUGGUAUUUGAGAUUUACAAAUCUUCUUUUGCAUAUUAAAACAUUUACAAAAAUUAUGUCAUGUCAUUUAUUUAUAUAACAUGCAGUGUAAUUGAUUGGAACGAUUGCAUACAUUUUUCAAACGAUUAACCAAAACAUUUACAACAAUUAAAUUUCCAAAUUGAAAUGCAUCCAUUUGGAAAGUUAAGGUUUAAAAUAAUGAUAUUUUACAACACUUUUAAAAUAGAAAAAAAUGCUUUAUGUCAUCAUUGUUCCAUAAAAUUUGAACUUGUUUUGCCAUUUUAACGUUUUACUCCCACCAAAUAAUCUAAAAACUAAUGAUUCAACUUGUAAUUUAUACUAGUAGUCACGAUAAUGUAUAGUUUUACAGCAUCUACUCAUUCAAACGUACGAUAAUGUUAUAAUAAACUAAGAGGAGUAUUUCCUUUCAAUAAAAAUGGAGAAUCACAA